GUGCUAGUAUUCCUCUGUCUC
Molecule: non-coding RNA, 21 nt
Organism: Caenorhabditis elegans
Lineage: Eukaryota; Metazoa; Nematoda; Chromadorea; Rhabditida; Rhabditidae
Source: Ensembl